This 74-nucleotide transfer RNA is filed under the name Mesorhizobium amorphae. Its description in RNAcentral is "tRNA-Gln". It matches the Rfam family "tRNA". From Rfam's summary of the family: Transfer RNA (tRNA) molecules are approximately 80 nucleotides in length. Lineage: Bacteria; Pseudomonadati; Pseudomonadota; Alphaproteobacteria; Hyphomicrobiales; Phyllobacteriaceae. The record is from RNAcentral.
UGCCCCUUCGUCUAUCGGUAGGACGCCCGACUCUGAAUCAGGAAAGUGAGGUUCGAAUCCUCGAGGGGCAUCCA